This 73-nucleotide transfer RNA is filed under the name Streptomyces diastaticus. RNAcentral describes it as "tRNA-Pro". It matches the Rfam family "tRNA". Rfam says of the family: Transfer RNA (tRNA) molecules are approximately 80 nucleotides in length. The record is from RNAcentral. Lineage: Bacteria; Bacillati; Actinomycetota; Actinomycetes; Kitasatosporales; Streptomycetaceae. RNAcentral also lists the same sequence under 3 other names.
CGGGACGUGCCGCAGCUCGGUAGCGCACUCGGCUGGGGACCGAGGAGCCGCAGGUUCGAACCCGGUCGUCCGG